Molecule: long non-coding RNA, 617 nt
Organism: Triticum dicoccoides
Lineage: Eukaryota; Viridiplantae; Streptophyta; Magnoliopsida; Poales; Poaceae
Exons: 2
Source: RefSeq, a predicted model, not a curated record
UCACUGUCUGCCUUCUACUCCUCCCUAUUUGUAUGACACACCACACAUAGAGGAGAGAAGAGAUGAGAGCAUAGCAGAGCAGGGCAAAAUCCUAGCUACUCCCUAUCCUGUAAGAUUCGCUCCUCGCCGAUGUCAGCCAUGUCGUCCUUUGACUUUCAGACGCCUCUGACACGUGAUAACCCUUGCUUGCCUAACUGGUCAGCUUUACCACCUGAAGUGCUCAAGCAUCUCGCCUGCCUAGGGACAAGGUACGGUCAUGUCCGGUAUCGCGCAGUGUGCAAGCAGUGGAGGAACGCCCUCCCACCCCUAGGGGACGUCAAUGACAACUUCCCUACCGAUCCAUGUGUGAUUUGGGGCUAGCUGGCUAACUAGAACAUAUGUAUUGGAAAUCUGUAUCUUUUUAUGUUCUGUUGUUUCAUUCCUUUCACCUUAAGUAGUGGGCAGAGUACUCUGCAUGACUUGCAUUGUAUGAAGUAGCUGGUACUUGGUAGUGCUAUGUUCUACCUUAUACAAAAAGAAACUGAAAGUGUGUGUGCAUUUAUUGUAUUUCUAAAUUUCUUAUCAAUGUAAUCGCUUGUAUGCAUAUACUGGGAUUGACUUGGGAGGGAUUUUCGCAA